RNAcentral lists this long non-coding RNA (2786 nucleotides) under Glycine max (soybean). RNAcentral's name for it is "long non-coding RNA (GMAX_LNC002312)". The record is from RNAcentral. Lineage: Eukaryota; Viridiplantae; Streptophyta; Magnoliopsida; Fabales; Fabaceae.
CCAUAGUUCUACUCUUUUUAAUCUCCGUCCCUCUCCGGUCGCUCCCUCCACCGUCAUCUGAGGCCAGUUAGCACCGAUCACCGCCACAAAAAGCCACCGUCAGUCACCAACCUUCCUCCACUCCCCUGAACCGUCGUCUCCAAACUCGUCGGCAUAUGCGUCCACUUCCCUGAAGGGAGAAUGCGGCAACCACGGCUCGAAGGAGCAGCGCCUCCUCCACGCAAUGAUUAUUGAAACCAAACGCGGAGAAGAAAGCGAAAUCGGCGUCAUUUUCUUUCUUAUCCGAUUUCAUGAUUUUGAUUUUUAUAACUGAAACACAAAAGUUCAAGAGAACAAAAAUAUCUAAAACAUGGUGGCCACUGGUCUUCAAAUCUGAAUAAUUCUAAUUGCACAGAGGAUGUCUUGCUCUUGUAAUGGACUAUUGUAGUCUUUUUCUAUAAACAUUAUGUGUUUCAAGAUAUAAACAAUUAAUUUAGUUUAUUUUAUACAAAUAUUUUUUUUGGUUACAAUUAUUACAAAUAAUAAUACAAAAGAAAUAUUUAUGUACAUAUUAUUAUUCUUAUUCAUUACAAAAUUAUGUCCCGUGGGUUGCACCGGUACUGACCAAAGGGACUGAAUCCUUUGACAGGGACAAAUCUCUCCUUGCUUUGAAUUAGCCGAAGGAUAUGAUGCAUAUAGUUUCAACUGCCGGCAGGUAACUUGCUCUAAUCACACCCCCCCAUUUUUAUUUUUAUUUUGAAGUGUUAUGUUUCUCUCAAAGUGUUUGCUUUAUUUUGGGGGGUAAUUUUGGAUAGCUUGUCAACUAGAGUUAAUUUGCAUAAAAGAGGAAUUCUAUCUCAAAUACAGGGAAUAUCUUGCAUGUUUUGUUUCUCCUCUGAGGAAGAUAGUCAUCACAUUUAAUAUCCUGUCCAGUGACAAAUCAAAAUUGGAAUGUAGACCAUGCUUGCUUGGUUUUUAUGGAAUUCUGCUAAAUGAUAUUUCUGUUCAUUAUGUUUAGUUUAUCUUAGCUUUAUCUUUAAAAGGAAAAAAAAGUUGUGUUCUGUAUGAAAUCUUAUUUGUAACUCCGUGGUAUGGUCUACUUUGAUUAUGCAUAACAGUAUUGUGUUCCAGGGUCAUACUUUUAACUUCCACCGUGCUCUAGAUUUGAUAAAAGUUAGAUCAUGGACAUGGUUUAAGGCCAAGAUGAAUAAUGUUGAAUGUUCCUUUUUCAAUUGGUGCAAUAAGCCUUUAGUUUGCUUCUCUUUAUCCCUCUGAUCUAGCCUGCAAGACUCUAAUUAUGGAUUAGAAUACCCCCCUUGUAUUCAGUUUCAUAAUUAACAUUUUGCUUGUUAAAUCCUAUGCCAUUAUUCUAAAACAAAAAAAAACUUAUAAAUCAUUAUCAUCAUAAAUCACUUCCUAUUGUCUACAAAUAAAGGAAUAAUAUUGAUCUCAUUCCCUUAUAGAGAUUAUAGAUAAAGGGGACAAUUUUCAAUUUUUAUUUAUUAAGGGACAAUACUUCUAUGAUUCUAUAAUAGUUUCUUAUAAAAAUAUUUAACUGCUUGGAUAGUUGGAUACUUCACAAAUAUGUCUCAAUGAAAAAUAUCCAAGGGUACCGGUAUCGGAUGCAUGAAGCAAAUGAAAGUAUCGGUAUAUUCAAACUCAGUGAGAGAUAGGUGAAGGACAAAAAUCAAUUAUUUCUUCUUCACUGGUUAAAUAUUUUUCCUGAAUAGGAAGAACAUCAGCUUCUCUUAAAUAUGGUCCAUUGCUCUUGCUAAUAUGCACAACAGUCGGUAUCAUUUGUACACUUUGGAAGGAUAUGUUGAUGCCAACUUUCAGAUGUUGAACAAUGACCAAAACUACACAAGUGAAAAAUCCAGAUUCUACAGAAACCUUUCAAUUUCUUUCUCUAUGCUUUUUUUUAUUAUUAUUAUUUGUGCUUACUUUGUUCAUUUAUUAUGUGUUACUUAUCUCUUCUGGAAAUUAAAGACCUUGAUACUAUAUGCAAAAACAAAAAGAAACAAUGCAACAAAAGCAAUAUGAGCCACAGCAACAACUCCAAGGAAGCCAUAUUCAUAGCCAAACUCUUCCUCAAGGAAUGCUUUUACUGUCAUUGAUUCUGUUCCAGGUACCAGAAUUGGAGUAUCUUUGUCACCCACCUGGGAUGUCACUAGGCCAUAUAAACUCCAGGCAGUUGGACAUACCCAGUAAAACCACCUCCACCAUAUUGGAAUUUGCUACAAAAGUGAGAAGCAGCCAAUAGUUAUAGUUUGUUUAAGCUGUUAUUGAAGCAAUUGUGAUUUAGUACAAAUAAAAUAUCAAUCAAGUCUCUAAAGUUAGCACCAACAAUCAAUUUAUUCCCUAAUACAACAAAACAGAAAGGCAAAUUUAUUCCCUGCCUUCAACAACUGUCAACCAAUAUGGUCCUCAUGUGAGAAAUGCAUUUUAUUUUCUUUUCCUACAAGUGAUUAUUAAAUUUUUUAUCCAAACUGAGUUAUAGAAUGGAUUGCAAAAAGAUUUCAAUAAGUGCACUCAAUGUGUCAUGUGUGAACUAUAUUUAAUGCAUACAGGCAAAUGAACGAUUUGCUAUGUUACUCCUUGGCUAUAAAUGUAUUUAAUUAUUGCUUUGCUAUACUUACCGAUUUUGGGAUAAUGAAACCUGAGAAUAUGUUCCAAAACACUAGAAAGAAGGCCAUAACAAUUGCAGCAAUUUGGGGAUUUGGUGUCAGAGCCGCAGUCAUCAUGCCAUAAAGUGUGAAGUAGACAAAUGAAAUGAACAUGAAGAAGUAGAACCACAAGAACUUGUCAAC